Molecule: transfer RNA, 73 nt
Filed under: Mus musculus (house mouse)
Lineage: Eukaryota; Metazoa; Chordata; Mammalia; Rodentia; Muridae
Description: tRNA-Asp
Source: RNAcentral
AGUGAUGUAGCUCGGUUGGUAAAGUGUUUACCUAUCAUACACAAGGUUCUAGGUUCAACUCCCGGCACCACAC